This 575-nucleotide ribosomal RNA is filed under the name Pseudonocardiaceae bacterium HRTP116. RNAcentral describes it as "bacterial SSU rRNA". It matches the Rfam family "Bacterial small subunit ribosomal RNA", at positions 99 to 694 of the family's 1533-position model. Lineage: Bacteria; Bacillati; Actinomycetota; Actinomycetes; Pseudonocardiales; Pseudonocardiaceae. The record is from RNAcentral.
CCUACAGAUACCACGUGGGCCUCUGCCCUGUCUCUGGGAUAAGCCCGGGAAACUGGGUCUAAUACCGGAUACGACUUCCCACCGCAUGGUGGGGGGUGGAAAGUUCCCGCGGUGCAGGAUGGGCCCGCGGCCUAUCAUCUUGUUGGUGGGGUAAUGGCCUACCAAGGCGACGACGGGUAGCCGGCCUGAGAGGGCGACCGGCCACACUGGGACUGAGACACGGCCCACACUCCUACGGGAGGCAGCAGUGGGGAAUAUUGCGCAAUGGGCGAAAGCCUGACGCAGCGACCCCGCGUGAGGGAUGACGGCCUUCGGGUUGUAAACCUCUUUAAGCAUGGUAGAAGCAAAAGUGACCGUCCCUGCAAAAAAAGCCCCGGCUAACUACGUGCCAACAGCCGCGGUAAUAUAUAGGGUGCGAGCGUUGUCCGGUAUUAUUGGGCGUAAAGAGCUUAUACGCGGCUUGUCACCUCAGAUGUGAAAACCCGGGGCUCUACCCCGGGUCUGCAUUCCAUACGGGUAGGCUAGAGUUCUGCAGGGGAUACUGGUAUUCCUGGUGUAGCGGUGAAGUGCUCAUA